ACAACGACGUGCGCGUAUGCCGGCUAGCAGGGUAGGGUGUAUCGCGUGCGUGCCCUUCGGCUCUCUUGCCGGCCGUUACGACAGGCCGUUGGAUGUACGACAACGAGGUGGUGCCGGGAAGGGUUAACAUACCGUUCUGGCCUUGUGUGCAUGGGUGUACCCAAGGGGAGGGUGGAGCGGAGUCUCGUGGUGGAUGGAGGGCGUUAUCCUGCCAAGGGUGUUGGUGAUGGUUCGCUUCAUUAAGUGCAUAGCUGUGGACUGUCAGGACAAGAUUAUGACUGAACUAGAGAGGAGAACAUCACCCAGGGAUCUUGGACUUGGAGCUGGAUGCAGGAACUGAUGAGACUCUGGAUUUCCCCUCUUGGGGAGUCUAGGUGGACGAGGCUCCAAAGAUGACCUCCAGUGAACCACAGCUCCUGCUAUUAAUGCUCACGUGUACUUCCCACCUACAUUUGAAUGGGCUGGUCUGUGACUCAUGUUAACCACUUGAAUGCAGUCGAAGUGGUGCUGUACCAAUUCUAGACCUAGUCUUUAAGAGGAUUGGCAGCUUCUACUUUCUCCUUCUUGGAACAUUUGCUUUUAAGUCUGACUGCCUUACUGGAGAGACACUGUGGAAAGAUUACAUGAAGAGGGAGAGAGACCCUGUUGUCAAAAUGUCCCUGUUAUCUGAAGAGAUGACUCCAGUCCCACCUGUCAUCUGACUCAACCACAUGAGAGGCCCCAGGUGAGACCAGCAGAAGAACUGCCCACAUGAUCUCAGUCAACCUGCAGAAUCACAAGGGUCAUUCCAGUACCCUCUAUUGAUGAAGUUUAAAAUUCUGCCACCUGACAAAGGAGAAGCUUUUGCAGGAUCCAAGUCCACUCUCACAAAAUGCAGGGCAAAGAAGAGUGAAUUUAGAAUGGAGAACCAAUAAAUUGAUAAUUUGCACACCUUAGCAAAGAUAAUUUAGUUAAUACACACUAUGUGCCAGGUGCUAUGAUAGAAUUAUGCAUGUGUGUGCAGGUGUACAUAAUUUUAAAUCCCACAGCAGCCCUGUGAAGUAGAUAUUAUUCUCAUUUGACAUACAUGACAAAUGAUCCAUGUCUGGACAUCAAAGCUGUGCUCUUCUCUGCUAUCCUCAUAUUCUUUUCUUCUCUGUGGAAAGUUAAAUGCACCCUCAUGUCUUCCCCUUUAGUUCUUGCCUCUGUAUUACAACACUUAUAUUGCAGUACCUAUUGGUUUAUAUGUCUACCUCUCUCCAUAAUAUGGAAGUUCCUAAAAAGCAGGAGUGGUGUUUUUCGAUUCAUUUUGGGUUCCUAAUGCACAACUUUAGUACUUAGUACCUAACAGGCACUUAAAUGCUCAUGAAAAGAAUAAUUGUUUGGGUGUUCCCUCCUUGAAACCAGUGCCAGUGGGCUAAAUAAUUCUGGAAACACCUAGGUAGGUACCAAGUAAAUCUGUUGAAUUGGGUUGAAUAUUUGCCAUUGGAUUAAGCUAGGUGGGUCUUGUUGAGUCUUGAGAAUAGGGAAAGCCUUUUUAGUUUUUAUUUUAUUUUAUAGUUUGGUUUGUUUAUUAAUACUAUAAUGUGGUGGGAAACUGUCUAUUUAAAAUCUCUUUGAUAUGUUUUUGCGCCUAGGAAAUCUUUGAUUCCUAAAAAACACUUGGCCCAUAUAUGAUGGUACAAUUUUAGUUCAUACUCGUGGGUAGGUUCUGAUGUUGGUCAUUCCAUUAAAUUUCCUUUAGGUCCACAUUUUACCUCUGUCACUUUUUCAAGUAAGGAACUUUGGAAUCAUCCUUUGGGUUAUGUUAUUGGUAUUGAAAGAGUAUUGAGUUUUUUUCUGGCAGGCCGUUAAAUUACCAGCAUGUAUGAGACUUGGUUUUAGGUUUUAUUAAGGUGGGUCUAUUUCAACUUUGCCCCCGACUCUUUGCCCCUUUAUAAAAGGGCCUUAGCUGCACAGCCAGAAUGUUCACCGAAGUCCCUUCACUCUCCCUAGGCCUGAACUCCAGUGUGUCCCCAGCACUGUUCAGUGUCUAGAAUCUUUAUUCAGUUCUCGUGCUUCCAGCAGCUAUUCUAGUCCUGGAUUUUGCUUUGUGUUUGAGACCCUCCCUCACAGGUCAGAGUCAAGAUUCAUGAGCUUCCAGGACUUGGUAACCCCUAAUUUAUCCUCUGCUUCCCCAAUUUAUUGUCAUUAUUAUUUGUUUUGUUUUGUUUUCUUUUUUUCUAUUCUUGUUUUGGUCUUUCAGUACAUCUCUGUCAUCACUUUUCUAU
Molecule: long non-coding RNA, 2249 nt
Organism: Callorhinus ursinus (northern fur seal)
Lineage: Eukaryota; Metazoa; Chordata; Mammalia; Carnivora; Otariidae
Source: RefSeq, a predicted model, not a curated record